Long non-coding RNA from Mauremys mutica (yellowpond turtle), 607 nucleotides. RefSeq lists it as uncharacterized. The record is from RefSeq and is a predicted model, not a curated record. Lineage: Eukaryota; Metazoa; Chordata; Testudines; Geoemydidae. The transcript is spliced from 4 exons.
AACUCAACAGGAGUUUUGCCGUUGAUUUCACUGGGGGAAGAACAGGCACUUUACUAGAUUAUGGACCCAAGCCUUUGCAUCAAGUUCAGACUGAAUCUUUGCUGAGGAUUGAAGAGGACAGAGUCUCUGAUGCAAAACACUGCCCAGUAUGCACCAGCAGUGAGGCUCCCCCACUAACAGCUGAAAUCACUGAGAGGUGUGUUAAGUGAUGAGAUCUGAAGACAUCCCAGUGGAUUGGCAAUUGGCUGGCAGGGUGGCUGGCAAAGCAACCAGUGGAGAGGACUGGAGCAGAGCCCCACAGAAAGACAACUGAAUAUGCUGCACCAACAUCGGCCUCAAGACUUCAUGGGACUUUAUUUGUGCACACACAUCCAGAGCCCCACUAAAAAGUGCCUUCUUAGGUCCUUUAUUCAAUGCCCCGCUGUGUUCAUUCAAACAUCCAGCAAAGAGUGUCCAGUAAACAGGCCAGGUGCUCUCUGACUUUUGGCAGUACUUCCCUGUCCUGCACUGGAGAGAUUGCAGAGCUGUCGGCUGGCUAACUGUUGCACUGGGGGGAAAGGCAGUACCCAGUAAGGAGCCAACAAUGUAAACAAAAACAGUUUUCCAA